Molecule: ribosomal RNA, 448 nt
Filed under: uncultured bacterium
Lineage: Bacteria
Description: partial 16S ribosomal RNA
Rfam family: Bacterial small subunit ribosomal RNA
Source: RNAcentral
UCCAGACUCCUACGGGAGGCAGCAGUCGGGAAUAUUGCGCAAUGGAGGAAACUCUGACGCAGUGACGCCGCGUAUAGGAAGAAGGUUUUCGGAUUGUAAACUAUUGUCGUUAGGGAAGAAAAAAGACAGUACCUAAGGAGGAAGCUCCGGCUAACUACGUGCCAGCAGCCGCGGUAAUACGUAGGGAGCAAGCGUUAUCCGGAUUUACUGGGUGUAAAGGGGGCGCAGACGGCAGCGCAAGCCAGGAGUGAAAGCCCGGGGCCCAACCCCGGGACUGCUCUUGGAACUGCGCGGCUGGAGUGCAGGAGGGGCAGGCGGAAUUCCUGGUGUAGCGGUGAAAUGCGUAGAUAUCAGGAGGAACACCGGUGGCGAAGGCGGCCUGCUGGACUGCGACUGACGUUGAGGCCCGAAAGCGUGGGGAGCAAACAGGAUUAGAUACCCCGGUAUU